UACGAAGGGGGCUAGCGUUGCUCGGAAUUACUGGGCGUAAAGCGUGCGCAGGCGGUUUUGUAAGCCAGAUGUGAAAUCCCCGGGCUUAACCUGGGAAUGGCAUUUGGGACUGCAAGGCUCGAGUGCGGCAGAGGAGACUGGAAUUCCUGGUGUAGCAGUGAAAUGCGUAGAUAUCAGGAGGAACACCGAUGGCGAAGGCAGGUCUCUGGGCUGACACUGACGCUCAUGCACGAAAGCGUGGGGAGCAAACAGG
Molecule: ribosomal RNA, 253 nt
Filed under: uncultured bacterium
Lineage: Bacteria
Description: partial 16S ribosomal RNA
Rfam family: Bacterial small subunit ribosomal RNA
Source: RNAcentral